RNAcentral lists this ribosomal RNA (491 nucleotides) under uncultured bacterium. Its description in RNAcentral is "partial 16S ribosomal RNA". It matches the Rfam family "Bacterial small subunit ribosomal RNA", at positions 28 to 507 of the family's 1533-position model. The record is from RNAcentral.
GAUGAACGCUAGCUACAGGCUUAACACAUGCAAGUCGAGGGGAAACGAUGAGAGAGCUUGCUCUCUUAGUCGUCGACCGGCGCACGGGUGAGUAACGCGUAUCCAACCUGCCUCUGACCAAGGGAUAACCCGUCGAAAGUCGGACUAAUACCUUAUGCAGUCGUCGGAAGUCAUCUGAUGACGACGAAAGAUUUCAUCGGUGAGAGAUGGGGAUGCGUCUGAUUAGCUUGUUGGCGGGGUAACGGCCCACCAAGGCGACGAUCAGUAGGGGUUCUGAGAGGAAGGUCCCCCACAUUGGAACUGAGACACGGUCCAAACUCCUACGGGAGGCAGCAGUGAGGAAUAUUGAUCAAUGGGCGUAAGCCUGAACCAGCCAAGUAGCGUGCAGGAUGACGGCCCUAUGGGUUGUAAACUGCUUUUAUGCGGGGAUAAAGUGAGGGACGUGUCCUUCAUUGCAGGUACCGCAUGAAUAAGGACCGGCUAAUUCCGUG